RNAcentral lists this ribosomal RNA (253 nucleotides) under uncultured bacterium. Its description in RNAcentral is "partial 16S ribosomal RNA". It matches the Rfam family "Bacterial small subunit ribosomal RNA", at positions 524 to 776 of the family's 1533-position model. The record is from RNAcentral.
UACGUAGGGGGCAAGCGUUGUUCGGAAUUACUGGGCGUAAAGGGCGCGUAGGCGGCACGGCAAGUCAGGAGUGAAAGGCCUGGGCUCAACCGAGGAACUGCUUUUGAGACUGCCGAGCUAGAGUGCAGAAGGGGCAACUGGAAUUCCCAGUGUAGCGGUGAAAUGCGUAGAUAUUGGGAAGAACACCUGAGGCGAAGGCGGGUUGCUGGGCUGACACUGACGCUGAGGCGCGAAAGCGUGGGUAGCAAACAGG